This is a long non-coding RNA of Erigeron canadensis, 902 nucleotides long. RefSeq lists it as uncharacterized. The transcript has 5 exons. Lineage: Eukaryota; Viridiplantae; Streptophyta; Magnoliopsida; Asterales; Asteraceae. The record is from RefSeq and is a predicted model, not a curated record.
CUUCAAACUCUGUUGAAUUUCGGUGUCUACAUCUUUCAGUGUGCACAUUGUUCAUGUUUUCAAAACUCACAUUAGUGCACUAGAUUUAGGUUGCAACUUGAAGUGAAUGAUGGGAGCAUGAGCACCGUGGUUGUGCUAUUUGAUGAAACAGCCGAAAGUUUGAUUGGCAAGACUGCUAAAUCACUGGUUGAUGAUCAGCUCGAGAUGUGGCUCUGAAAAAUUCCAAGGCCACUCAAGCACCAGCCUUGUAAAAAGACAAUCUGGAGAAAGAGCCUGCUGAAAUUCAGAAAGUUCUAUUAGCAAUGCAGAUGAGGAAGGAACUUCAGUGAAAUCUUCCAAAUGUUUUUGUUGCUAAAAAAGUUACAUUUUUGUACUCACGGGAUGUUCUAUGGUACGCAUGGGCCAUUGGCAUUGUUUAGAGGUAAAGAUGCAAGCAGAGCACUUGCAAAAAUGUCAUUUUAAGAGAAAGAUAUUACCGGUGAUAUCACUGAUCCAGGUGCGUUCGAGCUUGAUGCAUUGCAAGAUCGGGAAUACAAGUUCAUGAGCAAGUACGUCAAGGUUAGAAACAUCAAGAAACUUGAAGGUGCGCCUGAGCCAUCAACUGCUGCAGAAACCACCGAGGCAGCCGAAGCCAACCAUCGUGAGUUAAAUGUUAAAGAACCGUCUACGGCUGCAGCUGCUCCUUAUGUUUGAGAGCCCAAAGAAGCUGCAGAUGAGGAAGGAACUUCAACCACAAUAGAAGCCGUUAAAGAUGUUAAAGAUGAGUAGAGUUUUAUGAUGGCUGAGUAGGGUUUGGAUUGAGUGCUCGUUAUUGUUGAUUAAUAUUUUGCGAACAAGUUAUACCUCCUAUAAUUAAGCUAGAGUUAAUGACUAAGGUAAUUGUACUUAUUCCAAACUUAAAA